Non-coding RNA from Dipodomys ordii (Ord's kangaroo rat), 72 nucleotides. Lineage: Eukaryota; Metazoa; Chordata; Mammalia; Rodentia; Heteromyidae. The record is from Rfam.
GAGAAGGUGGCUCAAUGGUAGAGUGCUUGUCUUGCAUGCAUGAGACCCUGGGUUCGAUUCCUCACCACCACA